Molecule: ribosomal RNA, 468 nt
Filed under: uncultured bacterium
Lineage: Bacteria
Description: partial 16S ribosomal RNA
Rfam family: Bacterial small subunit ribosomal RNA
Source: RNAcentral
GACGAACGCUGGCGGCGUGCUUAACACAUGCCAGUCGAACGGAAAGGCCCUGCUUGUGUGGGGUGCUCGAGUGGCGAACGGGUGAGUAACAGGUGAGUAACCUGCCCUUGACUUUGGGAUAACUUCAGGAAACUGGGGCUAAUACCGGAUCGGAUCCCCUGCUGCAUGGUGGGCGUUGGAAAGUCUCGGCAGUUGGGGAUGGACUCGCGGCUUAUCAGCUUGUUGGUGGGGUAGUGGCUUACCAAGGCUUUGACGGGUAGCCGGCCUGAGAGGGUGACCGGGCACAUUGGGACUGAGAGACGGCCCAGAGUCCUACGGGGGGCAGCAGUGGGAAAUAUUACACAAUGGGAGGAAGCCUGAUGCAGAAACGCCGCGUGCGUGAUGACGGCCUUCGGGUUGUGAACCGCUUUCGCCUGUGACGAAGCGUGAGUGACGGUAAUGGGUGAAGAAGCACCGGCUAACUACGUG